UACGUAGGGGGCUAGCGUUGUCCGGAUUUAUUGGGCGUAAAGAGCGUGUAGGCGGCCAGGUAGGUCUGCUGUGAAAACUCGAGGCUCAACCUCGAGACGUCGGCGGAAACCAUCUGGCUAGAGUCCGGAAGAGGAGAGUGGAAUUCCUGGAGUAGCGGUGAAAUGCGCAGAUAUCAGGAAGAACACCCGUGGCGAAGGCGGCUCUCUGGGACGGUACUGACGCUGAGACGCGAAAGCGUGGGGAGCGAACAGG
RNAcentral lists this ribosomal RNA (253 nucleotides) under uncultured bacterium. Its description in RNAcentral is "partial 16S ribosomal RNA". It matches the Rfam family "Bacterial small subunit ribosomal RNA", at positions 524 to 776 of the family's 1533-position model. The record is from RNAcentral.